Molecule: long non-coding RNA, 1297 nt
Filed under: Brassica napus (rape)
Lineage: Eukaryota; Viridiplantae; Streptophyta; Magnoliopsida; Brassicales; Brassicaceae
Description: long non-coding RNA (BNAP_LNC010749)
Source: RNAcentral
UCAUUUUGUUGAUAAAUAUUGUAGGUUUGUGAUUGUGAUUUGCAAUUAGGAUAAAAAAAAAGAGUUUUUGUUGAUAGAUAGGGUAUGCUUUUAGAAUUUUUGAUCAAUAAGUUGUAAUGUUUAAAUAAAAUUUCCAAAACCUACUAUUUUGGGAAACUUAUCAUUUUUUCUAUAGAAAAAUUAUAGAUUUUGGAUUGUGAUUUAGAAAUUAGAAUAAGACGGUUUUUUAUUGAUAGAUGGGUAUGUUCUUGUAAUUUUGAUCAAUACGUUAUAUUUUAUAAAUAAAAUUUCUAAAAACUACUAUUUUUAGAAAGUUAUCAUUUUUGUAUAGAACAUUGUAGAUUUGAGAUUGUAAUUUAGAAAUUAGGAUAACAAGACUUUUCUUGAUAGAUGAGUAUGGUUUUAUAAUUUUUUAUCAAUAGGUUAUCAUUUUAAAUUAAAUUUUACUAAACUUGCUAUUUUUGGAAAGUUGUCAUUUUGUUGAUAAAUAUUUUAGAUUGGAGAUUGUGAUUUAGAAAUUAGGAUAACAGAAGUUAUUGUUGAUAGAUAGGAAUGCUUUUAGAAUUUUUGAUCAAUAAGUUAUAAUGUUUAAAUAAAUUUUUCAAAGCCUACCAUUUUGGGAAAGUUAACAUUUUUCUAGAGAAUACUGAGGAUUGUGAAUUGUGAUUUAGAAAUUAGGAUAACAAGAUUUUUUGUUAAUAGAUGUGUAUGCUUUUGUAAUUAUUGAUCAAUAAUUAGAGAGUUAUCAUUUUCGUAGAGAAAUAUUGUAUAUUUGGGGUUGUGAUUUAGAAAUUAGGAUAACAAGAUUUUUUGUUAAUAGAUGUGUAUGCUUUUGUAAUUAUUGAUCAAUAAUUAGAGAGUUAUCAUUUUCGUAGAGAAAUAUUGUAUAUUUGGGGUUGUGAUUUAGAAAUUAGGAUAACAAGAGUUUUUGGCUAUAGAUGGGUAUGGUUUAAGAAUUUUUGAUCAACAUGUUAUAAUUUUAAAUAAAUUUUCCAAAACCUGCUAUUUUUGGAAAGUUGUCAUUUUGUUGAUAAAUAUUGUAGGUUUAUGAUUGUGAUUUGCAAUUAGGAUAAAUAGAGUUUUUGUUGAUAGAUAGGCAUGCUUUUAGAAUUUUUUUAUCAAUAAGUUGUAAUGUUUAAAUAAAUUUUCCAAAACCUAUUUUUUUGAGAAAGUUAUCAUUUUUCUAUAGAAAUAUUGAAGAUUUUGGAUUGUGAUGUAGAAAUUAGGAUAACAAUAGUUUUUGUUGAUAGAUGGGUAUGGUUUUAUAUUUUUUUAUCAAUAGAUUAUUAUUUAAAUU